GGCAACCCCAGUCCAGGGGGAAUACCCCGUUAAUUUUAGCCUAUAAAAGGGGAAAAAAAA
Molecule: ribosomal RNA, 60 nt
Filed under: Citrus sinensis (sweet orange)
Lineage: Eukaryota; Viridiplantae; Streptophyta; Magnoliopsida; Sapindales; Rutaceae
Description: partial 28S ribosomal RNA
Source: RNAcentral